GACGAACGCUGGCGGCGUGCUUAACACAUGCAAGUCGAACGGAAAGGCCCUGCUCUUGCUGCGCGCUCGUUUGGCGAACAGGUGAGUAACACGCGAGUAACCUGCCCCUGUCAUUGGGAUAACUUCAGGAAACUGGGGCUAAUACCCGAUAGGAUCUCCUGCUGCAUGGUGGGGGUUGGUAAGAUUCGGCGUUUCGGGAUGGUCUCGAGGCUUAUCAGCUUGAUGGUGGGGUAGUGGCUUACCAAGGGUUUGACGGCUAGCCGGCCUGGGAGGUUGACCGGCCACAUUGGGACUGAGAUACGGCCCAGCAUCGUACGUGAGGCAGCAGGGGGGAAUAUUGCGCAAUGGGGGGAAGCCUGAUGCGACAGCGCCGCGUGCGGGAUGACGGCCUUCGGGUUAUGAACCGCUGUCGCAGGUGACGAAGCGUGAGUGACGGUAAUGGGUAAAGAAGCACCGGCUAACUACGUG
This 468-nucleotide ribosomal RNA is filed under the name uncultured bacterium. Its description in RNAcentral is "partial 16S ribosomal RNA". It matches the Rfam family "Bacterial small subunit ribosomal RNA", at positions 28 to 507 of the family's 1533-position model. The record is from RNAcentral.